Molecule: ribosomal RNA, 305 nt
Filed under: uncultured bacterium
Lineage: Bacteria
Description: bacterial SSU rRNA
Rfam family: Bacterial small subunit ribosomal RNA
Source: RNAcentral
CCUCGGGGGGCAGCAGUAGGGAAUCUUCCACAAUGGGCGAAAGCCUGAUGGAGCAACGCCGCGUGGGUGAAGAAGCGCUUCGGCGUGUAAAGCCCUAUCAGUGGGGAAGAAAAAGGACGGUACCCAAAGAAGAAGCACCGGCUAAAUACGUGCCAGCAGCCGCGGUAAUACGUAUGGUGCAAGCGUUAUCCGGAAUGACUGGGUGUAAAGGGAGCGUAGACGGUUGUACAAGUCUGAUGUGAAAGCCCACGGCUCAACUGUGGGAGUGCAUUGGAAACUGUAGAACUAGAGUAUCGGAGAGGCAA